This 415-nucleotide long non-coding RNA is filed under the name Lactuca sativa (garden lettuce). RNAcentral's name for it is "long non-coding RNA (LSAT_LNC009545)". Lineage: Eukaryota; Viridiplantae; Streptophyta; Magnoliopsida; Asterales; Asteraceae. The record is from RNAcentral.
GGUGAUUCUCUAUCACCUCCAUUAAAAUGGAGGUUUGUGGUUCUUCUACAACAAUGUCACCAAAUAGUAGCACCUUCUAUCUUUCUCCUUUAACUGUUAUGCCCCUUAAAUCUGAUGGAUCUCUUUGUAUCUUGGAAGCUCUUUCUUCUACACAGUCAGAAGGUUAGUUGACUAGUUAUCAGAUAACACAAAAUUUUGGUUCUUUAAAAACAAAGAAAACAAGAAAAGUAAAAAACAAAAAACUAUUAUUUAAUUGUUUCUUUUGUUUUACUUAAAAUGUGAAGGGAUGAUGCCAAAUUCUUCUUUACCUAAGCUGGAAGACUUUCUUGGGGUUGCUCAUGACUAUGGAGGCCAUGAGAGAGAAACAAUGGCUCUAAGCUUAGACAGCUUGUACCCUGAAUCUAGAUGGUUGUAU